UCCCUGGUAGCUUAGUUGGUAAAGAAUCUACCUGCAAUGCAGGAGACCCUGGUUCAAUUCCUGGGUCGGGAA
This is a transfer RNA of Ovis aries (sheep), 72 nucleotides long. It matches the Rfam family "tRNA". Rfam says of the family: Transfer RNA (tRNA) molecules are approximately 80 nucleotides in length. Their secondary structure includes four short double-helical elements and three loops (D, anti-codon, and T loops). Lineage: Eukaryota; Metazoa; Chordata; Mammalia; Artiodactyla; Bovidae. The record is from Rfam.